GAUGUACGGGACUGACGAUUUUGAAAUUACCGCGCAACUCCGAAUGACGUAAAUAAAUCCUAUGUCGUUCGCAUCUCCAAUUUGAUUCUGAGUGUAUGUUAGAUAAUAUCUACAAUGCAAUUAAUUCUAUAGAUAUAUUUUACAUAAACUAUGACAAAAAUAUUAUUAUAUUCGAAAUAAAAACAAAUCGCGUAAAUUUUACGACUUUAAUUACUUUUCGGCAAUGUAAACAUAGUGAGACUUUUGAAACAUUGAAAUGCGGGGGAAACGCGGAUUUCAGUCAGCUAAAGCGAUCCAGCGUUACAUCAAGGUUUUUUGACCCACAGAAGACGAUGGAAAGCUGCCUCACCAAGACACCAGACGCUGGAUCAUCUAUAUUUGCAAUCGCAGACGCAAGACAUGUGUUCAGGUUUUGAAUAUAAUGUCUCUAGUAUGGAUAUGUUUGACGAUUGUUACCAUGGAAACGAACUCACAGACCAACAUGUAUGUCAAAACAGGUUUUGAACAUGAUGUCUCCAGCAAGGAUAUGUUUGAUGACGGUUACCAUGGAAACGAACUCACGGACCUAUGUCAAAAAUGUCUUUUUCUGAUAAAAUAAAUAUAAUGCUAUCCAUUUCA
Molecule: long non-coding RNA, 618 nt
Organism: Ostrea edulis (European flat oyster)
Lineage: Eukaryota; Metazoa; Mollusca; Bivalvia; Ostreida; Ostreidae
Exons: 3
Source: RefSeq, a predicted model, not a curated record